This 636-nucleotide ribosomal RNA is filed under the name Rotylenchulus reniformis. RNAcentral's name for it is "SSU rRNA". It matches the Rfam family "Eukaryotic small subunit ribosomal RNA", at positions 1003 to 1664 of the family's 1831-position model. The record is from RNAcentral. Lineage: Eukaryota; Metazoa; Nematoda; Chromadorea; Rhabditida; Hoplolaimidae.
GGCGAUCAGAUACCGCCCUAGUUCUGACCGUAAACGAUGCCAACUAGCGAUCCGCCAGUCGACUCAUCGCUCUGGUGGGGAGCUUCCCGGAAACGAAAGUCUUCCGGUUCCGGGGGAAGUAUGGUUGCAAAGCUGAAACUUAAAGGAAUUGACGGAAGGGCACCACCAGGAGUGGAGCCUGCGGCUUAAUUUGACUCAACACGGGGAAACUCACCCGGCCCGGACACCGUAAGGAUUGACAGAUUGAUAGCUUUUUCAUGAUUCGGUGGAUGGUGGUGCAUGGCCGUUCUUAGUUCGUGGAGCGAUUUGUCUGGUUUAUUCCGAUAACGAGCGAGACUCUGGCCUACUAAAUAGUUGACGCAUUGCCACUGUGCGCACAACUUCUUAGAGGGAUUUUCGGUGUUUUCAACCGUACGAAAUUGAGCAAUAACAGGUCUGUGAUGCCCUUAGAUGUCCGGGGCUGCACGCGCGCUACACUGGCAAACGCAACGUGCCUGUCCUGCCCCGAAAGGAGCGGGUAAACCCCUGAAAUUUUGCCGUGAUUGGGAUCGGACAUUGCAACUAUUGUCCGUGAACGAGGAAUUCCUUGUAGGGGCGAGUCAUCAACUCGUCCCGAAUACGUCCCUGCCCUUUGUA